AUUGAACGCUGGCGGCAGGCUUAACACAUGCCAGUCGAACGAGUGGCGGAAGGGUGAGUAAUGCUUGGGAAUCUGGCUUAUGGAGGGGGAUAACGACGGGCAACUGUCGCUAAAACCGCGUACCAUAGGCUGAACACAAGUGGGAUUAGGUAGUUGGUGGGGUACUGGCCUACCAAGCUGACGAUCUCUAUCUGGUCUGAGAAGACGACCAGCUACACCUGGACUUAGAGACGGCCCGGCCUUCUACGUGAUGCAGCAAGGUGGAAUAUUGCGCAAUGGGGGCAACCCUGACUCAGUCAUGCCGCGUGAAUGAAGAAGGCCUUCGGGGUGUAAAGUUCUUUCGGUAUUGAGGCGUUAAAUACAGAAGAAGCACCGGCUAACUCCGUGUCAGCAGCCGCGGUAAUA
RNAcentral lists this ribosomal RNA (405 nucleotides) under uncultured bacterium. RNAcentral describes it as "partial 16S ribosomal RNA". It matches the Rfam family "Bacterial small subunit ribosomal RNA", at positions 30 to 525 of the family's 1533-position model. The record is from RNAcentral.